AGAAUCAACGCUGGCGGCGUGCCUAACACAUGCAAGUCGAACGAGAAAGUGGGAGCAAUCCCACGAGUAAAGUGGCGCACGGGUGAGUAACACGUGACUAACCUACCCUUGAGUGGGGGGAUAACCUAGGGAAACCUGGGCUAAUACCGCAUAAUACCUACGGGUCAAAGGAGCAAUUCGCUUUAGGAGGGGGUCGCGGCAGAUUAGUUAGUUGGCGGGGUAAUGGCCCACCAAGACAGUGAUCUGUAUCCGGCCUGAGAGGGCGCACGGACACACUGGAACUGAAACACGGUCCAGACUCCUACGGGAGGCAGCAGUGGGGAAUUUGCGCAAUGGGGGAAACCCUGACGCAGCAACGCCGCGUGGAGGAUGAAGCCCCUUGGGGCGUAAACUCCUUUCGAUCGGGAAGAUAAUGACGGUACCGGAAGAAGAAGCCCCGGCUAACUUCGCGCCAGCAGCCGC
This 462-nucleotide ribosomal RNA is filed under the name uncultured bacterium. RNAcentral's name for it is "SSU rRNA". It matches the Rfam family "Bacterial small subunit ribosomal RNA", at positions 26 to 518 of the family's 1533-position model. The record is from RNAcentral.